RNAcentral lists this ribosomal RNA (435 nucleotides) under uncultured bacterium. RNAcentral describes it as "partial 16S ribosomal RNA". It matches the Rfam family "Bacterial small subunit ribosomal RNA", at positions 28 to 507 of the family's 1533-position model. The record is from RNAcentral.
GAUGAACGCUGGCGGUAUGCUUAACACAUGCAAGUCGAACGGACUCUUCGGAGUUAGUGGCGGACGGGUGAGUAACGCGUGAGAAUCUGGCUUUGGGUUCGGGACAACCACUGGAAACGGUGGCUAAUACCGGAUGUGCCGAGAGGUAAAAGAGAAAUUGCCUGAAGAUGAGCUCGCGUCUGAUUAGCUAGUUGGUGAGGUAAAGGCUCACCAAGGCAGCGAUCAGUAGCUGGUCUGAGAGGAUGACCAGCCACACUGGGACUGAGACACGGCCCAGACUCCUACGGGAGGCAGCAGUGGGGAAUUUUCCGCAAUGGGCGAAAGCCUGACGGAGCAAUACCGCGUGAGGGAAGAAGGCUCUUGGGUUGUAAACCUCUUUUCUUAGGGAAGAACAAAAUGACGGUACCUAAGGAAUCAGCAUCGGCUAACUCCGUG